CAUAGCAACUUUCGAUGCAAUUUACUGCGCAUACCAUGGUGACCACGGGUAACAGGGAAUCAGUGUUCGAUUCCG
Non-coding RNA from Pelobates cultripes (western spadefoot toad), 75 nucleotides. NCBI's taxonomy places the organism in Eukaryota, Metazoa, Chordata, Amphibia, Anura, Pelobatidae. The record is from the annotation of a GenBank genome assembly.